This is a long non-coding RNA of Bolinopsis microptera, 582 nucleotides long. RefSeq lists it as uncharacterized. NCBI's taxonomy places the organism in Eukaryota, Metazoa, Ctenophora, Tentaculata, Lobata, Bolinopsidae. The record is from RefSeq and is a predicted model, not a curated record. The transcript has 3 exons.
GCAGCAAGUGGUGACGUUUGUAGAGCAGAAACUGUCCGUACCUGGUCCGGGAAUCACUGUUCAGCUGACUGAACUUCAGAACUUCCUGUCCGUACUGAUACCUGACGUCAACAAGUUCCUUGAUAGUUGCCGCGCUUUCCAUCAGGUACCGGUGUCCCAGCUGAAGAAUAACUUUACGGCAGUUUGUGACCUGGUGUCCGCGAUACAGUCCUUCUCCGUCCACCACCUUCACUACGCUCCCAACAUCGCUGCUAGUGACGCAUUUUUGUGGCUUGUAGAACCGGGACAUGUGAACCACCUCUCUUCCACUGAACGGCACUUUACUGGACUCCUAGCUGAGAUCGAGAGAGCUGUUGAAGCCCUGAUGGCCAGAAAGCAGUUUGUGUGAAGGAACCAACUUGUUCUCUAGUGAAAUGAGAUUGGGACUUAAUUCUGUGUCGUUCCUUCCGAGACUGGGUUUGUUAUUUCGAUACCACCGAUUAAAAUGUGAAUUUUAUCUAUGUACCGUAUUUCGGUAAUAAUUUGGCUGUUAUUGGUUUUUCUGAGCCUUUAAAACGGCUUUGUUACAACCGAUUACGUCCC